GCGCCGGUUACCACAGCUCUGGGCAUGGACGAACCUUCCUAAUCCAUAGAGCAGCCUCCCCCUGCCCCCAGCCCCAAUGCUCAUGUCAUCCUCCACUCUUUGCAGACAGCAAAUGCCUCCUGUCCCACCCUCCAUUCCUGCAGGAUAAAGGAGCUGCUUCUCUUCCUAACCCAGGCUCAGAGAGCAGGAUGGCCUGACUCAAAGCAAGGCUCAGGAAGUGAAGCCUUGUCCCACAUCCCUGCAGAAAAAAACUGGGGGACAACAGGCCCACGGAGCCUUCUACAGCCAAGUGAGGACCCCCACGCCCAGAGAAGAGAAGUGCUUUGCCCAAGGUCACAGAGUCUGUCAUCAAAAGCUGGAACCACAGGCCUCCCAGCCUGAGUCAAGAGGGCACCACCUCCAGCCUCCCAUCCUUGGCUCCCUGGGCUAGGACCCUGAGCUCUGAAGGUCUCCAGGCCAGGAUGACUGUGGAGGGUUUAUACUUUAUAUAAAGGGUACUAUGCUCCAUUUGAGGAUAUUGGGGAUUGAAUGGUGGAAGAGAGAGGAGCUGGAGGCUUGACCAAAUGCGGAGAGAAGGGAGGGUCGGUAAAUCUCCUGCCCAGCAUUCCAGGUAAGGGGGGGG
Long non-coding RNA from Acinonyx jubatus (cheetah), 622 nucleotides. RefSeq lists it as uncharacterized. The record is from RefSeq and is a predicted model, not a curated record. The transcript has 3 exons. Lineage: Eukaryota; Metazoa; Chordata; Mammalia; Carnivora; Felidae.